RNAcentral lists this long non-coding RNA (1343 nucleotides) under Ursus maritimus (polar bear). RNAcentral's name for it is "lncRNA (ENSUMAG00000007329.1)". Lineage: Eukaryota; Metazoa; Chordata; Mammalia; Carnivora; Ursidae. The record is from RNAcentral.
GCUUCUCUAAAUACUGGAAGAGUGUCACUCCACAGGGGUGUUUAUGACUGUCUGAGAUGCAGGAAGCAGCGGCCUUCCUUUUGGGCCCUGUGAUUUCCAUGGUGCCUUCACUGCUGGUGGCCUUCAGGGACCAGAGGCCCGCCCGGGGCCUGCACAGGCCAACUGGCAGCUUUCCAGGGUUUGAAUAGGGAUGCUUAUGGUUUUACAUGAGGGGAGUCUUAACUGUUUUAUUAUUUUAUGGCUCACGUGAGUGUGAUUGGGUGUAUUUCUUUAUGGGUCAGAAUGCCAAUAAUAUUUAUCCUGAAGUCUUGCAAAGAAUGGGGUCAUCAUUCUUACUGGGGCACAACUCCAGUCCUUCUCUGGAACAGUGUGGCCAGGUAAGGUUGUUCAGGUUGUGCACUACAAACCUGGCUGCAAAGGUGUGUCAAGCCACUGGACGUCUCCCUAAGGUGAGGGGUAUCUUUUUCUAAUUUGCAUAAAGGCUCAUAUGCGCUGGUGGUGGCUCUCCUUUACAUAUCCGCGGGUCUGUCUUCUAGGUCGGGGAGGAGGGAAAGCGAAUAAUGUGCAGCUGGCCACAUUGCCGCUUGAGCCACGGUCCCUGAAGUCUUCUGCCUUCCUGUUUCCUGGCUUGUGUGCAGAGAAGCCCCCUCUGAUGCUUACCGUCACAUGGCACAGAGUUCUGGAGAACCCACGUUGGACUCUGGCAGACCGUGCUGUUCAGAGGCUGGCUCUGCCCUUAGGAUGGGUAACCAAAGCUGGGGCCAUUGAGCUGGUGUCUUCGGACCACAAGCUGGUGUUUCUUGGAUGCUCUGGGGGGCGCUGACUAUCCCCUCUGUCAGUUUCAAAUGGUAUCGGUUUCCAAGCCUUUGUCCCUGGGCUGAAUUCACAGUUGAGCUGGGGCUCAGGUUUUGAUUAAGGGGAGCAGGGCUGGUGGGGGUCUCCUGGUGUGCAGUGCUCCUGGUGCCCCCAUCCUGUCCCCCUCCCCCCCCAUCCUGUCCCCAGCCGGAUGCUGCACUGGGUGAGACCCAUUUGAGAAAGAACAUGUGCUCACAUCUCUUAGAUAAACCCUUGCAGCUCUGGUGGGGGUCAUGCUGUUUUCUGUGGCUGUGGGGGCUCUGGCCACCCCUCCGCACUCUGGCUGGGCAUGAUAUGUGCAGGGGGCUCAGCCCCGCUGGACCCUGGAGUCACCCAGGGCUGUGCAGGAGUCUGGGACACCUGGAGUGGUAUCGCUACCCCCCGGGCAGGUGGGAGGAGGCAGGAGCAGGAGGCUGCUGUGCCCUGUCCUGGCUUGGGUCAGGCUCUGAGGAGGGGUGUGUGUCCACAGGCUGGGGAGCCCUGGGCCG